Non-coding RNA from Triticum aestivum (bread wheat), 125 nucleotides. NCBI's taxonomy places the organism in Eukaryota, Viridiplantae, Streptophyta, Magnoliopsida, Poales, Poaceae. The record is from Rfam.
UGAGUACUCCCUCCGUCCGGAAAUACUUGUCGGAAGAGUCGAUGUAUCUAGACGUAUUUUAGUUCUAAGUACAUCCACUUUUAUCCAUUUAUCUGACAAGUAUUUCUGGACGGAGGGAGUAUUAA